Molecule: long non-coding RNA, 2176 nt
Organism: Cyprinus carpio (common carp)
Lineage: Eukaryota; Metazoa; Chordata; Actinopteri; Cypriniformes; Cyprinidae
Source: Ensembl
GUGAACUUUACAGAGGGGAUUGACACGGGCCGCUUGCUGGGCGUCUGCUCUGGGGAAGACCAGGAAGACUUACUGAAGGUACGUGGGUGAGAACAUUCAAGAGCGUUUCCUUCUUUUGAAGAAUGGUCCAGUGUGAACCAUUAGAUUGUGUUUGAAUCAUAUGGUGAGGGACAUCUGAAACCAUCCUGAUUUUUGUGUAGGUUGGAACCAGAGCCAGUUUUUAUAACUCCCAGAGUUCAGCUUUCUCAUUUGAUCUUCAAGGUCACCACAAUACCUCCGGGUAAUUCAUUCUAUGUUUUUUUUUUUUUUUUUUUUUACUGUAGUCUACAUGUAUAUACUACAUCUACAUGUAUAUGUAGACUAUCCAACCAAUUUUGAUGUCUUCUGUAGCAUUGGACUAUUGGCAAACAUAUCCCACAACAUCUGCUUUACAUCCGUACUUGCCGUUUGAGUUUCAUUCAAAAUCACAGUUGAGUCGUGCAGGGAUUCAAGCACCCCCAAUAUUUUUCUCAGCUGCAGUCAUUUUUACCAUUCUACUGUGAAAUUUUGCAAGCGAAAUGCAGUCAUAUCAAUAGGAAUCUGUGCUAUAUUGAAUUUCAUGUGAGGAAUCUGACAGUGAGGACACGCUGUGGUGGAAAGAGAGGCUCACACAAUGAGCACAGUGGGAGGAUUUAACAAAGACAUGUCUCUCUUAUUAUAAGAAAGGCUCAGGGUUGGGGUUUGGAUCUUAGGGUAGAGAAUAACACUCAAAGAAAACUAGCUGAGUGUCGACUGGAUACUGUUUGGACGCCAUGAUCAGGUAAAGCCAGACAGAUGUUUUAGGAGUUACUUUUGUGGUUUGGUCAUUUGUUAUGACAUCUUCCAGAUAUAAGUCUCUUGUGUUUUGUUUUCAGGUCAGAGUUCAAGGCUCUUGGACUUUGGUAAGCAGACAAACGGAUUCCUUAGAACAGAAACAACCCUUUGUCUCAACAUUGACUCACUUUCAUAUACAUGCCCUGUCCCAUGCACCCGACUGGAGACAAAACCGCAACAAGCAGGCCCGUCAUUCUUGGGAGCACGGAAAGCCUGUAAAUGUUUCUGUAACAGUGAGUGAGCACUGGCAUGAUGACUCCAGCAGAGGGCAGGCCUGUAUCUUUCUCUCACCAGGACAGGCUUUAAUGUGGUCUGGAUCUCCCAGAGUGAACUCAGGCAAGGAGCUGUUGUACUCUCACACCCGCGUGUCUGUGUCCCGACACCCUCAGCACAACACCUUCACACUGUCACUCAGAAACAUCAGCAGCAGUCAGCGCUCCAACUACUCACUGAACACAGAGAAAUGUCUGAUGAUAUCAGAGCAGUAUUCUGUUUGGAGGGACAUCACUGGUUUACCCUGGAGCCUCAGUGAGACCCUUACCCUUAUUUCUGAAGGAGCUGCCAAUCAGAGUCUGCUUUUUCAAGCUAAGGGAUACAGGGAAUGCCUGUGGGCCAUGGAGGUGAGAACAGCAAGGAGUUAUGAAGUUCUUUCAUUAUAUAAAUCUGCCAGAUGGCUUGUAAAACAUUGUUUUUCAUGUCUGGAUUGAUACUGUAUCUUUACAGGCAAACCUCCAGCAGCUGGGGUCCAGGAUAAGGAGUUAACUGUUGGACAGAGUUCCGAGACUUCAGCAUCUACUGUUAACAUUCAGAAGACAGGUUUGUUUUAUCUCACAGGCUGUCCUGCUGCAUAUUUAGUCUAUGUUAAAAGGUUAGGUCAGUGGAAAAAAAAAUCACUUACCCUCAUGUGGUUUAAACAUGUAUGCCUUUCUUUCUUCUGGGAACCAAAAAAGAAGAUAUUUUGAAGAAUGUUGCAGUGUUUUUUAAUCCAUACAGUAAAAAUCUGUGGGGUUCAAUGUUGUUUUGGACACCACUGACUUUCAUUGUAUGGAUAGUUGAGGUAUUCUUUAAAAUAUUUUUAUUCCACAGAAGAAAGGGUGCUUUGUAAGAGUCAUAUAGAGUAUUUUAGAAUCAAAUACAUACCCUUUCAAAAGUUUGGGAUCAUUAUUUAUUUAUUUAUUUAUAUUGAAACUUUUAUUCAGCAAAUUUAUAAAAAGUAACUGUAAAAGUGACAGUUAAGUAUAAUGUUAUGAAAAAUUUCUAGAUUAUGUUUUUGGAAUGAACAUUUAAUCAAAUAAUCCUGAAUAAAAGUGUAUCAUGGUUUGCA